GUUAACUCUGGGGUUUUAUCCCAGUGAAAGGAUGUGGUAGAAGAGCUGCUCUUUCUGAGUGUAUUUACUGUGACAGAGCGGUCAUAAAGAACGAAGGAAAAUCUUGUCUUUGGCACUGAAAGCCUGUUCAAGGAGCUGGGGCUGGAGCUGGGGAGCAGGGUCCAGAAGAGCCCUUUCAGCCCCCAAAGGAGAAUGUUCUUCUCUGAGGACACAGUUCUGGAAAGGACAGGACAGCCUGGACUAAACAUCUUCACUUCCAACAUUGGGGGUGAUUUCCAGCUCUCCCGGUGGUGGUGUUGGUAAAGAGAGAGUUUGAGGAUAUUGAGGAAGAAUGGGUUAUAGAACUGGGAUUUUUUUGUAAUUCGGCUAUUCAGUGACUCAGUUUUUGACUAAACCACAAAUAAAUUUGGGGAGGCUUGAUAAAAGCUCUCUUUUUUCCUUAAUAACAACAACGAGGAAAUUAAGAAACUUUGACAUUUGUGAACACUGCUAUGCUUUGGCGCUGUAUUUUCGUUUUCUUUCUAUCUUUCUUUCUUUGGUGGGGAGGGGAUUCACUUUGACAAAACUCUCUUUUCUUGGCUGGUAGAAGUAGAUAAAGUCAUUAUGAGAGGUUAUUUCCCCAAAGAUUGUAGGUUUCAGGCUAAUGUUGCUGAGUAUCAUAGGCAUUUCAUUUAAAGAAAUAGAUGAAACCAAAGACUGGGUUUUUGCGAACAUUUGAAGAUUAUAUAGAAUAUUUAUUUUUUUAAAUUCUGCUGAAAGCGUUUUGUAUCUAACCUUUCCUUCAUUCCACCCUACACUACCUCCCUUCCUUUUUUUUUUUUUCCUCUUUCUCUCUCCCUUUCUCCCCACACACUGGUUCUUUCAGGAGCUGGGACAUUCAGUUCUACUGAGCUGUUGUUUUUUUCAUUAUUCAUUUGGCUUCUGUAUUUUUCCAUGUACAAGGUACUUUCACUUUUUUAAAAAUUGAGAAAAAAACAAUGUUGUCAGUAUCAAUAAAUCUGCAUCUAGGGAGAGUCACUUCCUAUCAAGGUUUCAAAAGUGCUUCAUGGCUUUCCGAUCUCCUGUCCACGCUAAUCAAGGCUGAUGCUUCACAUACGCAGGAUGCAAGAUGCCAGCUUCUCCACCAGCUCAGUGCCGUGUUCCAUUUUAGGAAUGAGAACCUGGAUUAUUUAUUUAUAACUGUAUAAAGUCCUGUUGUUAAGCUGCUCUCCGUGAAAAGCAGAGAGUGGUUUGAGCCAGUUGGGGAGAGACUGCAGGAUGAUGGCUGGUUUUGUGGGAAGGAGAGAGCAAUUUUAUUUCCUACGAUAAAUUAAAUAGCCUAAUUUGACCCUCCACCAGUAACAUGAUAACCAAUUAAUACAUUAAGGGGUAGGAAUUAUGCCAUCUGGUUUUAGAAAAUGGAAACUAGGAGUCUAGUCCCCUUAAAUACUCUUUGGGGCAUUUUUUUUCCCUUCCUAUGUAGCCCAAACCAAGGGCUUGUAUAGCAAUGAAAAUCAUAAAGGAAAGAUUGAAACUAAAUUGGUUAAUGUGUGUAAUGCUUAUUUAACCCUUAGACAGCAAGCUCUGUAAGGAUGAACUGCCUGACAUAGCUGUGAGAAAUAAUUUUUAAAGUUGUGAUUACCCCCAUUUUGUUUCUCCUGGGUCAAACUAUGGUAGCAUUUUAUUUUUACUCUUGAAAGUCAAUGUAUGUGGCGUGGCUUCUUUUAUCUGUACCACAAGGUGGAUGACAUAUGUUGUAGUCUCUCCUUACAGCUUUUAAAGAAUAGUUUUAGCCAAUCAUAUAAGUUAUUGCUACCUAAUAAUAUAUAAUUUACCAAAUCCCAGCUUUUAGAACACUUUAAAGUCCAAGAGAAAGCUACACGUAUUUAGUAACUAAUGUAUACAGACCUGAUAAUGAUAAUCUUACUGCUUCAGAGUGAUUCUCGAAUUGGAAUUCAACUUCAGUGUUCACUCUGCAAGUGGUUUGGAAUGACCAGAAGUGAAAUAAGAAUUGUAUGUGGGUAAGGAAGGAAAUGGAAUAAAAUUGCUCCUUGACCAUGAAGCAACUAUGUAUCCCUUUAGCACCCAAAUAUUUUGAGGGGAAAAAGCCUCAUGCUCUGGGGACAAUGGACAUGGUUAAAUAUGAUUAAGUAUGAUUUUUUUUUUUUAAUUCUUACAAUUGUGGACCCUGAUGAAGACUGGUUUCUAUUGAAUCCCACUGAUUUAAUUUGGGCCUACUGUAAUUUACUGGGCUGGAGUAGAAACAGCAAUUCGGUGAGGCCAUCAUAAGCUCAUUAGAAACACACUGAGAACACUUAAUGGUGUACAACCCACAGCUUUGUGCAUCCGUAUUAUAGUGAUCCCCUCUUGCCUGGCCUGCUGCUCACUACUCCACGCUAUUGAUAGUACAGUCGUUUUCAAACACCCCAGAAAAUGAGAGGUAUUUUAAAAACAAGAUUGAAGUCACCAAGAAACAUGUAAUGCCAACAUUUCAGGGGUGUGCAGCCCACUGUUAGGAUUUAAAAAAAAAAAAGAAAAGAAAAAAAACCCUCUGUAUUGUUAAUCAUGGUAAGAUUGGUUAGCUGUUAAGUACUGUAUAGCACAACUAAUCAAAAGCUCAACCGUCCUACACAAUGGAACAGAAAUAAUUACUCUCCCUGGGCCUCUAUUGUUUCCCACCUCAGCCUUCCCUGGACUAAUAAAAGGUUUAAUUUUAAAUUGUGUGGAGGAAAUGUCAGGCUCACAAAGAAAUACAAAGUUCAGCUGCUUUGCCCACCAUCAGGUAACACAUCAUAAUGAAUCAGACCUUAAUAGGCUUAAGCGAAGUGAAGCCCAAACACCGGCUGCACCCCCCCAUCCUCCCCAUCAUGCCAUUUUUUUUUCUUUGCCCCUAAUUGAUAGGACCACAUACCAAAAGCCUGGGUUCCAACACCCUUGCCUUUCAGAUGAGAAUGCUCUGAUAAGGUGUGAGAGCUCUGGUUAUGAGAUAUACAUGUCUGUGCUUAGGAUAUCAGCUACGCACGGUGGGUGAUUUAGUUCAGACGAGGGACGCCUAUUCUGAUGCUUCACAGGAAGAAUGGGGGAGGGGAGGGGCACAGGAGAGAACGAUCUUCGAUCUUCUCGCUUAAAGGCUUCCUGCAUUCAAAUGUGUGGGUUUGUUGUUUUUUUUGUUUUUUUCACUUUUACUAUCUUCAAACAAACUCAGAUAAAUUUUCAAUCCAAAACUUGUUUUUGAAGUUUCAGUUUACUAAGAAGAAAGUACUACCAUACGAAUAUAUGGAGAAGGACAAGUCUGCUGAAAUCUUCUGAAUUGAGGAUUUUGCAAACAUAAUUAGACUCAGAUUUCGAAUAGAAACAACAAAAAGAAAAAGAUACAUGAGGAACGUAUAUACGUUAAUCAGCCAUACACAGUACUCUAAAAUAGCUGAAGAGCAAUGUUAUGCUCUACCAUGCAAAGAGCCUGGACUGUUCCUGUCACUUACCCACUCUAGGCCACUAAAACGAAGGUGAUAACACCUGCCUGGCUGGUUCUGAGAAAGAGAGAAGAUGGAUAAUGUGUGUGAAGGACCUGUCACAAUCCCAGGUACACAGUAAAAAGAAGCAAGAAUGAAGAAUUAAGCAGUUAAACAAUGACUAGCUCUCCACCGCCAACAGCUCUAUUAGCAAUCCUGCAGGCACAUCCCUCGAGCAAGAUCACACCUGAAGGGUCGACCAGUCUGCAUACAAUGGAGAAGGAUGCUGACCCCAAUCUCCAGCCUCAAAGAUUCUCUGAGGUUCUCCCCCGCCAUCAUUUUUCCCUUUAAAAAUUGUCACGACUGAGCAGAAUCUUCUGAGUUGGUCUCUGGACACAAGUCUAUUGUCUCCUCAGAUUGCCCGCUUUUCAGAGGAAAACACCUCUCCUUUCUACUGACCUCACCUCUUGAAUCGCUGCCUUCUGAGGGGUGAGCAGCCGAACCCAGAUUAAAACAAGUAAGAAUGAAGACUGAAGUAGUUAAAGAAUAACCAGCUCUCUACCCUCAACAGCUCCCUUAGCAAUCCCGCAGGCUGGCAGGCUGAUCACCUGGGCAAGAUCCCGUUGGAAGACAGACGGAGCCAGCCAGUCUGCACGCAAUGGAGGAUGAUGCAGAAUCCAACCUCCUGCCUCACUGAUUCACUGAGAUUCUUUCCUUUUUUCCCUUCAAAAGGUGUCAGGGCUGAACAGAAUCUCUAUAGCUGGUCUCAGGACGUAAGUCCAUCUUCUCCCCAGAUUGCUGACUUUUCUUCUAAGUCAAGUAUCUUUCCUUUCUCCCUAUAUUUGCCUCUUGAUUAUUGGCUUUGGAGUGUGGUAAUAUAAUCAGGUUUAGAUUGGGUUAUGAAAGUAGGACCUUCCUGAUAGGAUCAGUGCCCUUAGAGGAAGAGGGAGAGGGAUCUCUCUCCAGUCACAAGCAAGGCCAGUGAGCACACAGAGGUAGGGUGGACACCUGCAAUCUGGAAGCCAAUCUGCUGGCACUAUCUUCCAGCAUCCAGAACUGUGAGAAAUAAGGUCUGCUGUUGAAGCCCCCUGUGUGUAGUAUUUUAUUAUAGCAGCCUGAACUGACUGAGAUACUUGGUAACACAUGAAUGCUAGCUACUUUGAUCAUUUAUGAAAUUUGGAGAUUAACAGCUGUUUUAUCUUAUUCAGUUGACCCUGAAAUAUAUUUUCUUUAUAUUAAAAUAUAUUUUCUUUAUAUUAAAACAAUUUAUAUUAACAUAUCAUAUUGUUCUUUGGAAAUUGAGGUAUCUUAACAGUGAAAAUAUCAUUAAUCUUCAAUAGGCUAGAUCUGAGGACCUCCAAGUUCAGUUCCAUAUUAUGGUUCCUUCUACAACUGUGUAUGCAGCAAGCAUCCCACAGAAUGAUAAACCCAUGUGAAAAUAUCACAUAAUGCAAGAACAAUGGAUGCUUUUGUCUUGACUGAAUUAGCAGAUUGCAUUCUCUAGUAGCUGACUCAUAUGAUAUUUUUGCAAUGUAAGCAGCAGAAAGUUUAAUAAGCUCCUUCCUGACAGGGUAGUUUUUCCAAUACAUGUGACACAUUCAGGUAUUUGAAUAUCAACAAAUUUAAACUUAAAUCAUAUCUUUUUUUAAAAAAUAACCUUAAGUUAUUCAGUUUUUGUAGAUAGAAGUUUAAGGCUUCAUUUUCAUUCACUCUGUUAUAUUACAGAAUGAUGUUAUUACUUAGCAAGAAGCAUAGAAACUCUUUCAGGAAAUUCAGAAAUUAUAGAGAAUACUCUAGUAUACCUGAUUUUUUUUUUUUUUUUGGCCAUCUCACAGCAUGAAGUUUUUUAAAAUGGUGGAGUUGGGGCUACUGAAUUACAACUAAAGAUAAAUCUUAAGAACAAAUAAAUAGGAUCACCGUAUUUUGGGCUGUGAGUGAUUUUGUGUCAAAGUAGCAUAAAUUGAUUUUGUUUUGUGUUGUCACCAUGGCCGACACUAGUUGAAUGGUCAGGUGAUGGCAAAGUUGAUUUGUCAUUUCUUCUUGAAACUAGCCAACAUGAGAGUGGGACUCUCACGAUGGGAUUUGUGCCCUUAUAAGAAGAGGAAGUUAGAGAGCUCUCUUUCCUUCCACAAGCCAGCCCAGAUGGGCUAUUUGUCCCUUUUGAUGCCUGUUGGACCCAUUUUCCUAUAACUUUGUUUUGGAAAACUGUGAUCUUUGUCCCAGAAUAUUGAGAAAGAAAUUAUUGAGCCAAUUGUAUUGGAAAAUUGCAGAAAACAUUUAAAAUAUCUUUAUGUCUGGGAGAAAACUAUUUUAAUGCUACAGAUAUAAAACUAUAUAGUAAACUAUAUAAUUUUAGUUAUAUGGAUAUAAAACUAUAUAGUUACUGGUGCAUGUUUUUAGUAGAGUCAAAAGAUAAAUCAAGUAACUAUGGUUUCAGGUGAAUAAGAGAAACAAGCUAACAAGAGAUUUUUGCUAUCCUAAUCCACAUAUGAUGCUUUUAUGCCAUUUAUGAAUUGCAAAAAAGGCACCCCGUCUGGGAAGAUGAAUUACAAGAAGGCAGCUCUUCUUCCUGGCCGAUGUCGCUUGCCAAACCAAGCUGGGAUGAAUAGAAUCUCCUCUUCACCCUGACACAGGGACAUGUGUGUAAGGCACAAAAUGCCAACCACAUACAGAGGCCUGGCUAAGCUUUUAUCAAAGGAGAUGCAAAAUUGUUUGCGGCUAGCAUUGCCUAGCUUUGAGUUAGGUUUUGACAUAAUUUGAGUCUGUUCAUUAGAUAAUAGGUGACAUUAUUCUGAUUUAUUAUGAAAAAAGUAUAGAAAUGAUAAGGUGAAGAUAGAUUAAAAAAAAAAAAAAACAUGUCUUGGGUACUCUGAAUAUAGCAGACCCUGAGCUAAAGCAUCUGGAUUUGAAGUUGAAGAGUAAAUCAGAACUCAAGCAUUUAUUUUCUAGUUUAAAAAAAUUGAAAAGAAAAAUGAUUCCUCUUAAAUAAUAACCAUGAAGAUUAAGUAAUAUAGACAAAAAUAUGUAAAUCCUGAAGUGUUUUAAGAAAUAUGAGUCAUUCUAUAUUUUUAAAAGUUUAGGGGAUAGAAAAGAGAAAAAUGGAUUUUGUUGGUUUAUUUUUUCUUUAAUGCAUCUCAAGAAACUAGAAGAAUGCUUGAUACAUAAUAGGUACUCAGUAAAUGUUAGUUCAAUGAAUGAAUGAAGAUAUAUGAAAAAUUUUGAAUAAUGAACAAAAACUAUUAAUAGUGGUUACCUCUGAAUAUCAGUCUAAUAAACUUUUCCAGCUUCUCAUCUUUCUAUACAAUCAAUCCUGAAUACAUAUUAUACCCACUCAUAUGCACAUAUACACAUGUACACACAUGCUUUCAGAGAUUCAUCAUAUGUGUAUUCAUGUAUUUUAAAAUUUAAAUUUUAGUAAAAAUUUAAAAAGUCUUCCAAUGGAAACCAAUAUAUUUUUUGUUGAAUACAUGAAUUAAUAAAAGAUUUACAAAUAAAAAAAUUAGGAACCUUUAUUUUUAAUAUAUAUAAAUAGUAAAAGCAAUAUCCAUAAAAAUUAGGAACCUUUAUUUUUAAUAUAUAUAAAUAGCAAAAGCAAUAUCCACAAAAAUUAGGAACCUUUAUUUUUAAUAUAUAUAAAUAGUAAAAGCAAUAUCCACAAAAAUAAUGAAUUAUCUAUUCUGAAAACAAGAGAAUAAAUGGUUCAAUACGUUUGCUUUGAAAAGUGAUACAGCGUAAGCUUAGUUAUUUUAUUUACUGUCAAAAACUAUGAUUCUUUAGAGCAGAUUAAGAACUCUGUUUUUUUAACAUGGUUUUUUAAAAAAUCCCCAAUUAUCAACUUGUUUUAUGGACCUAAAUUCUUUAUGUUUCCAUUUACUUUAAAGUGAAAAAGAAAUAUAAGCUCAUCUAUGUCCCUUUCAUCAAAACACUAAUCUGAAUACUUAGUAUUUUCAGGUUGAAAAUGAUAUGAGUACUUUAAAAAUGAAUUUCAACAGAAUAAUGAUCAGUCUGUGUGUAUAAUAAUAUUGAAAGGAUUUUUUCCUCCUCCAUCUGUACUUUAUAGAUCUCGACCUUAUAAGUCAUAGUCUUUUGAUUCAAUCAACAGAAAAUAGUGCUUAAUUAAUUAACAUUGGGUUUCUUGAUUUCUGGCUACCAUCUGCAUUCAGCCCCAGCUAAAGAGAGUAUGCUGCAAUCUGAAUUGUGAAUAAAUAGUACAAAAUACUUACUCAUUUUGUGUGUUUGAGGAUACUUGUUGAUGUAUAUUACUUAUUGACUUUACUGGCUUCAAGGGAGUAUUUUUUCAGUCUCAUUUUUAUUUUAUGUUUUCAUGUAUCCAUUCACAUUUAAACCCAAUCUGUACAGGCUGUGUCCCUAGAUUUCUUAUUGUGCACACCAUAUGCAACAUAGUUGAGCAAAUUUUUCACACCAGAACUGAAUUAUAAGCAUGUAAAAUUUUUGUGAACUGGGCUGUAAAAUAUCAGAACCAUACCUUCUAUCCAAGUUGACAGCUGAUAUCUGAUCUGAAAAUAGUGUAUUUUCCUUCAAAUGUUGGUAUCCUGUCACUUUGCAUUGCCUUGAUACAAACAGUUAUACAAGAGGAAAAAAUUACUGUGAAAAAUAAAAUCUUUUAUAAAUACAAUAACUAAAAAAUAAAACAAACAAAAACCAAAACUCUUCCCAUGUUUUUAAUACCUUGUUUUGCUUCCCUACAUGAGUGUGAUAAUCUGUUGCAAAUGUUUAUAAAAUGAUGU
Molecule: non-coding RNA, 8179 nt
Organism: Sus scrofa (pig)
Lineage: Eukaryota; Metazoa; Chordata; Mammalia; Artiodactyla; Suidae
Source: RefSeq, a predicted model, not a curated record